RNAcentral lists this ribosomal RNA (274 nucleotides) under uncultured bacterium. RNAcentral describes it as "partial 16S ribosomal RNA". It matches the Rfam family "Bacterial small subunit ribosomal RNA", at positions 523 to 796 of the family's 1533-position model. The record is from RNAcentral.
AUACGGAGGGUGCAAGCGUUACUCGGAAUCACUGGGCGUAAAGCGCGCGCAGGCGGGCUGAUAAGUUGGAUGUGAAAGCCUACGGCUCAACCGUAGAACUGCAUCCAAAACUGUCAGUCUAGAGUCUGUGAGGGGAAGAUGGAAUUAGUUGUGUAGGGGUAAAAUCCGUAGAGAUAACUAGGAAUACCAAAAGCGAAGGCGAUCUUCUGGAACAGUACUGACGCUGAGGCGCGAAAGCGUGGGGAGCAAACAGGAUUAGAAACCCUAGUAGUCC